UACGUAGGGGGCUAGCGUUGUCCGGAAUCAUUGGGCGUAAAGAGCGUGUAGGCGGUCCGGUAAGUCCGCUGUGAAAGUCGGGGGCUCAACCCUCGAAUGCCGGUGGAUACUGUCGGGCUAGAGUGCGGAAGAGGCGAGUGGAAUUCCUGGUGUAGCGGUGAAAUGCGCAGAGCUCGGGAAGAACAUCGGUGGCGAAAGCGCUCUGCUGGACUGCAACUGACACUCAGGGACGAAAGCUAGGGGAGCGAAUGGG
This 253-nucleotide ribosomal RNA is filed under the name uncultured bacterium. RNAcentral describes it as "partial 16S ribosomal RNA". It matches the Rfam family "Bacterial small subunit ribosomal RNA", at positions 524 to 776 of the family's 1533-position model. The record is from RNAcentral.